UUCCUCAUACGAAGUCAGAUUUGGGCGUUCUAUAUAUAUUCGGAAACCUCGUUUCAACUACUACAACAUUAUCCAAAGAUAUCAAGUUUAUUUUACACUUAAAUUUUGACGCUUAUUUUUAUUCUUAAUUAAUCAAACCACAUAAUUAAGCAAUUAAGCACAAAACACAUAAUACUCAAAUAAUACACUCUUAUUAUUUCAAAACGGGUUACAAAGGUUAACCUAGACUAUUACAUUGCUAAAAAUGGCAAGCCCGGAAACACAGGCGUUACAAUUCUCUCCACCUUAGAAUGAUUCCGUCCCCGGAAUCACACAUCAACAAACAAAUGCGGAUAGCGACUCAACAUGUCACUCUCCGUCUCCCAGGUGAGAUUCGGCCCAUUCGUGUGUUUCCAUCGGACAAGCACUAACCCAACCAUUUUGCGUCGCAACUUCUUAGUCUUUCGGUCAACAAUUGCCUCUGGUUCUUCAAUCAACCUUUUGUUCUCAUCAAUUCUCAAUUCAGAAAUUGGAAUUAUAUCGGGAACUUCUCCCGUGAACUUCCUCAAAUAACACACAUGAAAGGUGUUGUGAAUUCCAUUCAGUUCUUCGGGUAAUUCGAGCUUGUAAGCUUGGUUCCCAAUCCUCUGAAGAACUUUAAACGGUCCAAUAAACCUUGGACUCAACUUUCCCCUUUUACCAAAUCUUAUAAGUCCCUUCCACGGCGAGACUUUAAGCAAAAUCGAAUCUCCAACUUCAAAAGUCAUCGGCCUUCGCUUCUUGUCAGCAUAGCUCUUUUGACGAUCCUAAGCUGCUAACAUUCUUUCCCUGAUCACUUUCAACUUCUCAGAAGUCUGAUGGACCAUCUCGGGUCCCAUAAACUGCUUUUCGCUAGCCUCAAGCCAACAAGACGGCGUACGACACUUCUGUCCAUACAAAGCUUGAUAAGGUGCCAUCUUAAUGCUCGAGUGAAAACUAUUAUUAUAGGAAAAUUCUACCAACGGUAAAUGUUCAUCCCAAUUACCUAGGAAUUCCAGGGUACAUGCUCUCAGCAUAUCUUCAAGUGUUUGUAUCGUUCUUUCACUCUGACCAUCAGUCUGUGGAUGGUAAGUUGUACUUAAACAUAACUUGGUACCCAUUUCCUCUUGUAGACUUUUCCAAAACCUUGAGGUGAAACGGGUGUCACGAUCUGAUACAAUCGUUAACGGAACACCGUGAAGCAUCACAAUUUCCUUUACAUAAGAAUUCGCAAGCUUUUCCAUAGACCAUUUCUCAUUGGCUUCUAUAAAAUGCGCACUCUUAGUGAAUCGAUCAACGACCACCCAAAUCAUGUCGUGACCAUUCUUUGUUCUGGGCAGUUUAGUGACAAAAUCCAUAGCAAUGUCUUCCCACUUACCCAUAGGCACAGGCAAAGGUUCUAAACUCCCGUACGGUUUCUGAUGUUGUGUCUUGACUCUCGCACAAGUCACACACUCGGCCACAUACUUUGCAACAUCAAGCUUCAUCGUCGGCCACCAGUAGUAGGGUUUCAGGUCCCUAUACAUUUUAGUGCUACCCGGAUGAAUCGAGUACAUGGUCUUGUGAGCUUCUUCCAUCAGAAGAUCCCUAAUUCCUCCUGACUUAGGUACCCAAAUACGAUCUUGGAAUACCUUCAGUCCAUGACCGUUAGUACCAAACACCAACGUUUUACCCAAACGUUCCUCCUUUCGGUCAUUUUUCUCAGAAGCUUCCUCUUGAGCUUUCUUUAUACUUUCCACAAUGGUCGAGACAACUUCAAUUCUCAACGCUCUUGGCCUCUUCCUUUCAAGAUUGACCUUCCGACUGAGAGCAUCAGCAACAACAUUAGCUUUACCGGGGUGGUAAAGUAUCUCGCAGUCGUAGUCUUUAAGUAAUUCUAGCCAGCGUCGUUGCCUCAUAUUCAAUUCUUUCUGAUUAAAGAGGUAUUGGAGACUCUUAUGAUCAGUGAAAAGUUUGCACUUCGUGCCAUAGAGGUAAUGCCUCCAUAUUUUCAGAGCGAAAACUACCGCUGCCAACUCCAAAUCAUGAGUCGGGUAAUUCUUUUCAUGCUCUUUCAGCUGUCGAGACGCAUAUGCUAUCACCUUUUCUCUUUGGGUCAAAACACAACCCAAUCCAACACCAGACGCAUCGCUAUAAACAGCGAAGUCUUCAACUCCAUCGGGUAGAGAAAGUAUCGGUGCCUCGCAUAGCUUCUUCUUUAACUUCUCGAAUGCUUCUUUAUGCUUCUCACUCCAAGCAUAAGUAGCUCCUUUGUGGGUCAAAGCUGUUAAUGGAGUAGCAAUCGAAGAAAAGCCUUGGAUAAACCUUCGGUAAUAUCCGGCUAAUCCUAAAAAGCUUCGAAUCUCCGUGGGACUUUUCGGUUGUUCCCACUUCGUCACAGCUUCGAUCUUCGCUGGAUCAACCAUUAUCCCUUCUUGGUUGACCACGUGACCCAAGAAUUGGACUUCACGAAUCCAAAAAUCACAUUUGGAGAACUUCGCAUAAAGCUUCUCCUUCUUCAAAACUUCUAACACUUCUCGCAAGUGUCUGCCAUGCUCCUCCUGGCUUUUCGAGUAGAUCAGAAUGUCGUCUAUGAACACUAUCACGGAUUUAUCAAGGAAAGGAUUACAAACCCUAUUCAUCAAAUCCAUGAACGCUGCUGGAGCAUUGGUUAGUCCAAACGACAUAACCAAGAACUCGUAGUGUCCAUAUCUAGUUCUGAAUGCAGUCUUCUCGAUAUCUUGCUCUCUUACUUUCAGCUGAUGAUAUCCUGACCUAAGAUCGAUCUUCGAGAAAUAGCUCGAACCUUGCAAUUGAUCAAACAGGUCAUCAAUCCUCGGCAACGGAUAUCUAUUCUUUAUUGUUGCCUUGUUCAGCUCUCUGUAAUCGAUGCACAUUCUCAUACUUCCAUCUUUCUUCUUUACAAAUAACACCGGAGCUCCCCAGGGCGAUGAACUAGGUCUAAUGAAACCUUUGUCCAAUAACUCCUGAAGUUGCAUCAUUAGCUCCUUCAUCUCCGUCGGUGCUAAUCGAUAAGGUGCUUUUGCUAUUGGCGUGGUUCCUGGUAACAAGUCUAUUCUGAACUCCACUUGUCUAUCAGGUGGUAAUCCAGGAAGAUCCUCGGGAAAUACUUCCGGAUAAUCACACACCACUGGAAUGCUCUGCAUCACCUUCUUUUCUUUCUUAGCAUCAAUCACGAAUGCUAAAUAUGAUGUACAUCCCUUGGUCAAACACUUUCUGGCUUUCAUUAGAGAAAUGAUUCCAGAAUUCACUCUGCGUUUGUCCCCAUACACCAUAAACGAAUCUUUUCCAGGCGGGUUUACUUUAACUAUCUUCUUCUUGCACAAAAUUUCGGCAUCAUUGGCGCUAAGCCAAUCCAUUCCCAAGACGAUGUCGAAACCAUUUAGUUCGAUAGGCAAUAAUUCCUCGAGAAACUUAUUCCCAUUAAGGUCGAUCAAGACGUUUUUCAUACGAUGGCUAACAGGUACAAACUUGCCACUAGCUACUUCGACUAAUAAAGCAUUAUUUAGUCUAUCAACAGGCAAAGCUAGCUUUCUACCAAACUCAUGCGAAAUAAAGGAGUAGUUGGCUCCAGAAUCAAACAAUAUAUGAGCAGGUAAUUCGUUUACGAGAAAGGUACCUGAAGCGACAUCAGCUUCAUCUUUCGCAGCCUCAAGUGUCAUCUGGAAGGCUCUCGCCUUCGGCUUUGGUGGAAUGUUGGGCCUAGCUGCCUCCUUCUUCUUCGGACAGUCUUUCAAAAUAUGCCCCUCUUCAUUACAACCAAAACACAUCCUUUUGUUGUUCGGACACUCAUUGGCAAAAUGCCCAAUUUUUCUGCACUUGUAGCAGGUUACAUCCUCACUACAUUUUCCAAAGUGCUUUUUCUUACACUUAUCACACCACUUCGCUUCGCCUCCUUUUUCCUCCACCAAACUUUUUCGAAUCAGAUUUCGAAAAUUUGCUUUUCUUACCAGAACCAGAUGUUCACUCAAACUUUCUCUUCUCACUAACCUCAACCUUGUCGGUGGAUCUCCCCUUAAUCAUGUUCUCAACAAACAUGGCAGCCCAGAUAGCUGCCUCUAGAGUAAGUGCCUGACGUACCGGCACCUCGUACUCCCAUGGAAGUCCCUUCGCAUACCGAUCCACCUUUGUCAGCUCGUCUGGAACGAUACGCAAGGCAAACUCCAUCUUAUCGGUGAAGUUAUUGGUGUACUCAUCCACUGACAUGCUACCCUUCGUCAAUGUCAAAAACUUGUUCUCCAACUCCAACAGAUUUUGAGCCGAGCAGAACUUGCGCUUGAACUGCACCAAGAACUCUGCCCAUGACAAUUGCAGUGGCUCAUUAGGGCUUAAGGUCUUCCCUAGAGUGUUCCACCAACGAACGGCUCCACCUCGGAAUUGACGCACGGCAUAGAUAGUUUGCAACUUACCUCUGCAGCCACACGUCAUGAAGGCUAGCUCCAUUUCGGAGAUCCAAUCCAUAACCCCAAUCGGAUCCUCCUUUCCAUUGAAGGUCGAUGGUUUGCAAGUCAAAAAGUCCUUGUACUUGCAUCCCAUUCCAUCAUUCCUUCCAUCAUGGUUAUCUUGCCUAACUAUCGGUGGGUUGGCUUGACCAACAGACCCACUGAAGUUUCCACCUUCCGAGUGCCCUUCAUUUAAUUCAGGCUCUUCCACACGAAUUGACAGUUCUUCACGAUUCUGUUGAAGCAACCGUCUAGUUUCAUCCAUCUGACGAUCCAACAUUGUUUGAAUCAUCAUUUGCACACCAGCCAUGGUUAUUGGCUCAGGUGCUGCUGCUACGACAGGUAUUUGCUCAAUCACUGGUGGUUGAUUCCUGUUUUCGUCAGCAUUUCCAACUCCACUUCUUGUUCUCACCAUUUUGAUCUACACCGAAUAAGGUGAAAUUAGAUCCUCAAUCAUGAUAGAUAUUCAAAUCAUCCUUAUCACUCCGAAACGUUUACAUGCUAGUUCUAAUAUCGUAGACGUACGCUUAGAAUCCUACACACAUAAGGUUUCUAGAUCCGGUCGGCAACAGACCAUAGAUCCGAACAAAUAAUAUCAUAUAUGGCAACAUAUAACAUUUAGCACAUAAAAGCAUUUUAGGCAACUUUCCUAAAAUAAACUAGUGCUCGUGUCUAAAACAUAACAGACACACAUCUCAAAAUUUCACUUAGCAUUCUAAGUUUAAGUCUAGAAAUCCUACAAAUUCCUAGUUCGCUUAAACUAAUGCUCUGAUACCAACUGUGACAUCCCCAAAAUCUCGGCCAGAAAAGACCGAUUUUCAUUUAUGCUUUUAAAAUAAUUUCAGAGUAAAUCCUUUUGAUUUAAAAGAGUUGCGGAAUUUGUUCCCAAAACAAAAUAUGAUAAAAUAAUAUUUAUCAAAGCAUUUCAUAAAGAGAUGUAUUUUCAUUAUAUAAUCAAAACUCGGGAUGUCAUGUUCCGAUACAGACCAUAAAGCAUAAACGAUAACAUUACAAGUCAUUCAACAAAUAUAUACAUAUACAGACUUGUAAACAAAACAACUUGAUGAUUCAUCCAUCUUAUGCCCUUGCGCCACUUCCUGUAAUACAAAUAAAACUGAGUGGGUCAGGCUUGGGAGCCUGGUGAGCAUAUAGGGUUUUCAACCCACAAUAAAUAAUUAUAUUUAAUUCCACCAACCAACAAUAACCCAAUUACCCAUUCCCGUUAUUCUCACUUUACGUCCCUAAGACAACUAACAUAAGGGACCUAGUCUAAGAAUAUUUCAUCGGGGCGACAACACAUGCUUCGGGGGUUCCUCAGCAAUAUAAGUCAAAUAAGGCAACCAUGAGGGGGAUGGAGUACAACGAAUGAACACCCAAGUUCAUUAACACCUACAGGUGGCGAACCUGCUAGCGUUCCACAGGACUGUCUAGAAAAGUCUGUGGUCGUCAUCUAAACUCCGCUAGAUGACUGAAUCAAAAACAACAUCGGGGCCUCUCAUCUGUUUAUCACACAUCAACUAUCUACCCAUGUUCUACCCAACAUAUUAGUAGAUAAAAAUAUAUAUUUUUAUACAUAGUUUAAAACCUGUAUAGCAUUCUCAUUCAAUACAUAUUCCACAUAACAGAUGAGGCACACACACAUAACACGUAUUUCAUAGAGAAUAAAUCAGAUCUAUGAGAUAGAAGAAAGUGAAUAUACAUUCACACAUAUAACAACAAAAUAUACACAUAACACGUAUUUUAUAUAAAAUACUUCAUAAUUAUGCGUUAGAAGAAAGUAACCACACACUCACUUGAUCAGAAGAUGAUCGGACAGCACUACGGCUUACAGAAGUAGUAUUCUUCGGCAGAUCUGGAAGAUCUCCACAAAAAUCGAACUCCUCGCGGGCAGAGCUUCGGCUCGGGAAUCGCACUUCUCGGGAUCUCAGGAGCGUAAAACUUCCUUCUUAACUUGGAUAUGAGAUCCGGGGUGUCGGGAUGGCUUCGGGGGUUUACACGCAGAGCUUCGGCACGAAAAAGAGAAGAAAUGAGCAAGAAUGCCUGGAACCCUCGCAUCCUAUUUAUAGGAGGCUGAGGCCUCGCAGUACGCUGGGUGUACAGCCUUACGCGGGGCAUACGCCUCCGAAAUCGUCACUGCAUGUGUCAUCCGAAGAACUCGAGUGCGAGGCGUGUCAUGCUUCGCUGUCCGCUGGGCGUACGCCAGUACGCUGGCCGUACUUCGGAUAAGUCCGGUGACUCCUCUUCGAAUAAUAUCGGACAUAAUAAAUAAAUUUAAAUAUUAAUUAUUUAAUAAACUUUAAAAAUUCAUAUCUUCAUCAUACGAACUCCGUUUUUUAUGUUCUUUAUAUCCACGCGUAGGUGAGACUAUGCUCUACAACUUUCGUUUAGACUCCGUUGGCUAAUUUUGACUUUAUUUUUUUAUUAAUUAUUUUUAGUAGGCCCGGACAGGAAAUCUUCGUUAUAAAUUCAUAACUUCUUCGUCCGACGUCCGUUUUCGCCUAACUUUUCAUCGUUUCGCUACUAACAACAAGAUCUUCGAUUCUCAUUUAGAUUGUUUCGGCUAUAAACCGCUCGAUCUCAAAUCGAGUUUUUCGGACUGCAUACCGCUAAGUCGAAACUUCAGAAAUUCAUAACUUCCUCAUACGAAGUCAGAUUUGGGCGUUCUAUAUAUAUUCGGAAACCUCGUUUCGGCCACUACAACUUUAUGCAAAGAUAUCGGGCUUAUCUCAUACUUUAAUUUUGACGCUUAAUUUAUUCUUAAUUCAUUAAAUUAUAAUAAUUAAGUAAAUAAACACAUAAUUCACAUCAUUCACAUAAUACUCAAAUAUCUCAUCAUUAAUACUUCAAAAGAGUUACAAGGGUUAACCUAUACUAUUACAUCAACGAAAAUGCCUAGCCUAGAAACGCGGGCGUUACAGUUUUUUCCGAGUUUACAGGAAUAUAU
RNAcentral lists this long non-coding RNA (7383 nucleotides) under Lactuca sativa (garden lettuce). RNAcentral describes it as "long non-coding RNA (LSAT_LNC006209)". Lineage: Eukaryota; Viridiplantae; Streptophyta; Magnoliopsida; Asterales; Asteraceae. The record is from RNAcentral.